GAACGCUGGUCGCGCGCUUAAACAUGCAAGUCGAACGAGUGUAGCAAUACAUUCGUGGCGAACUGGCCCGUAACACGUGGACAAUCUUCCUUCUGGUGGGGAAUAACCCAGUGAAAAUUGGGCUAAUACCGCAUAACAUUGCGAGGCCGCAUGGUCUUGCAUUCAAAGGAGCAAUUCGCCGGAAGAGGGGUCCGCGGCCGAUUAGCUAGUUGGCGAGGUAACGGCUCACCAAGGCGAUGAUCGGUAGCCGGUCUGAGAGGAUGGCCGGCCACACUGGAACUGAGACACGGUCCAGACUCCUACGGGAGGCAGCAGUGGG
This 319-nucleotide ribosomal RNA is filed under the name uncultured Acidobacteriota bacterium. Its description in RNAcentral is "bacterial SSU rRNA". It matches the Rfam family "Bacterial small subunit ribosomal RNA", at positions 31 to 358 of the family's 1533-position model. The record is from RNAcentral. Lineage: Bacteria; Pseudomonadati; Acidobacteriota.